This is a ribosomal RNA of Gopherus agassizii (Agassiz's desert tortoise), 124 nucleotides long. Lineage: Eukaryota; Metazoa; Chordata; Testudines; Testudinidae. The record is from Ensembl.
GUCUGCAGUCAUAUCAUGUUGAAUGCAUCUAAACUUGUCUGCUCUGGGAAGCUAAGCAGGGUUGGGAUCCCAGUUAGUAUAUGACUGGAAGACCACCUGGAAAUGUUGGAUGCCCCUCCACACC